RNAcentral lists this long non-coding RNA (244 nucleotides) under Ananas comosus (pineapple). RNAcentral describes it as "long non-coding RNA (ACOM_LNC000911)". Lineage: Eukaryota; Viridiplantae; Streptophyta; Magnoliopsida; Poales; Bromeliaceae. The record is from RNAcentral.
AUGCCGGGCGGCGGAAGUUGAUUCGAUGGGUGUAAUUGGUAGUAUGUCUCUAGUCGUUGAUAGAGACGGAUUCGAGUUGUAUUAGUUCUCGGUUCGAGAUGAUUGUGUUGGCGGCCGACAACAUAACAGGAUGUCAAUUGGAUGAGCUAUGAAUAGCAGGAUUGAAAGUAGAAUCGAUCGAUCUACUUAUCUUGUUGCAUGAUUUGCAUUGUUGCAUGUUGAGAGGCAUAACAUGUAUUGUAAU